GAGAGUUUGAUCCUGGCUCAGAUUGAACGCUGGCGGCAGGCCUAACACAUGCAAGUCGAACGGUAACAGGAAGAAGCUUGCUUCUUUGCUGACGAGUGGCGGACGGGUGAGUAAUGUCUGGGAAACUGCCUGAUGGAGGGGGAUAACUACUGGAAACGGUAGCUAAUACCGCAUAACGUCGCAAGACCAAAGAGGGGGACCUUCGGGCCUCUUGCCAUCGGAUGUGCCCAGAUGGGAUUAGCUAGUAGGUGGGGUAACGGCUCACCUAGGCGACGAUCCCUAGCUGGUCUGAGAGGAUGACCAGCCACACUGGAACUGAGACACGGUCCAGACUCCUACGGGAGGCAGCAGUGGGGAAUAUUGCACAAUGGGCGCAAGCCUGAUGCAGCCAUGCCGCGUGUAUGAAGAAGGCCUUCGGGUUGUAAAGUACUUUCAGCGGGGAGGAAGGGAGUAAAGUUAAUACCUUUGCUCAUUGACGUUACCCG
RNAcentral lists this ribosomal RNA (485 nucleotides) under Escherichia coli. RNAcentral's name for it is "bacterial SSU rRNA". It matches the Rfam family "Bacterial small subunit ribosomal RNA", at positions 7 to 481 of the family's 1533-position model. Lineage: Bacteria; Pseudomonadati; Pseudomonadota; Gammaproteobacteria; Enterobacterales; Enterobacteriaceae. The record is from RNAcentral.